GGUGAAAUAGCUCAGUUGGGAAAGCGUUAGACUGGAAAUCUAAAAUUAUCUGAUUCAAAGCCAGGUUUUGUCU
Non-coding RNA from Cordylochernes scorpioides, 73 nucleotides. The record is from the annotation of a GenBank genome assembly. NCBI's taxonomy places the organism in Eukaryota, Metazoa, Arthropoda, Arachnida, Pseudoscorpiones, Chernetidae.